UUAGCUCAGUGGUAGAGUAGAUGACUGUUAAUCAUUUGGUCGCUGGUUCGAAUCCA
This 56-nucleotide transfer RNA is filed under the name Arcobacter sp. RNAcentral describes it as "tRNA-Asn". It matches the Rfam family "tRNA", at positions 8 to 61 of the family's 71-position model. From Rfam's summary of the family: Transfer RNA (tRNA) molecules are approximately 80 nucleotides in length. Their secondary structure includes four short double-helical elements and three loops (D, anti-codon, and T loops). The record is from RNAcentral. Lineage: Bacteria; Pseudomonadati; Campylobacterota; Epsilonproteobacteria; Campylobacterales; Arcobacteraceae.